Long non-coding RNA from Photinus pyralis (common eastern firefly), 145 nucleotides. RefSeq lists it as uncharacterized. The transcript is spliced from 3 exons. NCBI's taxonomy places the organism in Eukaryota, Metazoa, Arthropoda, Insecta, Coleoptera, Lampyridae. The record is from RefSeq and is a predicted model, not a curated record.
AAUUGUAAUUGUUUCCAUGUUCGAAUAAGUAAUUUUUCCCCAUAUUAUCAACCAAAUGUUACCAAUUAAUAUGUAAUUUUCAACUACUUUUAUAUGUUCCUUCAAACUGAAGCUUGAUAAUGACCUCAGGGUCGAAACUAUAGUC